CUUUAUAGUGCAAGACAAUUAAAAUACAGUUUAAAAUACAAUUUAAAAUGCAAUUAAAAUACUGUUAAAAUGCAAUAAAUACAUUAAGUGCAAUCGGUUUGUAGCAGACCUGAGUCAGUUUGGAUUUAAAAUGCCUGCUUAAACAAGAGUAUAGUCCACAGGAAAAUGUUUUAAAAUGCUU
Sphaeramia orbicularis (orbiculate cardinalfish) is the source of this 181-nucleotide long non-coding RNA. RefSeq lists it as uncharacterized. Lineage: Eukaryota; Metazoa; Chordata; Actinopteri; Kurtiformes; Apogonidae. The record is from RefSeq and is a predicted model, not a curated record. The transcript is spliced from 5 exons.